AUGAGGAGAUUUUUGAGGGGCUCAUCGAGCCAAAGCUCGAAGGAAAAGGCACCGAAGCCUAAGUAUAAUUUGCCGCGCACCGCGGAGAUUCGGGCGUGUGAAUGGCCUUCUGAUGAUUUCUUGAGAGCAGCCGGUAUCUAUGAAGAUUUUCAUGAAUUGGCUCACAAUGCAGGCCUCACCGCUUUCCUCCACGACCAAUGCAAUCAGUAUCUCUUACUCAAAAAUACUUUUGUGCAAAACUUUCACUUUCAUUCUAGGAACUCACCACCUACAGUGGAGUUUCAUUUAUAUGAUGAGCAUAAGGAGAUGUCACUUUAUGAUUUCUGUCGGAUUUGUUUAGUCCCUUUUGAGGGCAAGACAGAAGAACCACAUCAUGAUGAUGUGGCUAGGUUUAUUGAUACUAUCACUAUAGGAGAAACUAGAAAGGUUUCCGAUGCACGAAUCACUAGCAUACAUUUUCCUGUUUUACGUUACUUUGCAUUAUUUGCUAGUCGUUGUUUAAUUGGAUGCGGAAACUGUGGAAACCUUAGUAUCUCUGAUAUAAUUAUUCUGCUCCAUGGUUUAUACAGUGAUAACACUUUUAGUAUGGGCGGUAUUAUUGCUAGACGGUUAAGUAUGAACCGUACCAAAGGCCCCAUCUUUGGAGGCAUCUAUGCUACACGCCUAGCCGUACAUUUUAACAUACCUAUUAGGCAUGCUGAGAAGGAAGAAAAGGUGCUACCCCGUGUUUAUCUAGAUCAUAAAAGUAUGGUGGCACAUGAUUUUAUUGUUAAGAAUAGGGCAGGAGAGCUUAAAUAUCAAUUGUUCUUUAACAAACAUCAUCUUGAGACUAUUAUCCUACCUGCUCCUUCUUUGUUUGAUUUGACUGUAGGCACGUACCUUGUUCUGUUGACGGCUAUUCACGCCUACGGAACCCUGCACCAGCCAAGGAGCCAGAACCGGAACCACAAUUUGAUCCUUCACGACAGUCUAACUAUCAGUGGGAUCCGGAGAUGA
RNAcentral lists this ribosomal RNA (996 nucleotides) under Triticum aestivum (bread wheat). RNAcentral's name for it is "partial small subunit ribosomal RNA". The record is from RNAcentral. Lineage: Eukaryota; Viridiplantae; Streptophyta; Magnoliopsida; Poales; Poaceae.